This is a non-coding RNA of Mesocricetus auratus (golden hamster), 83 nucleotides long. The record is from Rfam. NCBI's taxonomy places the organism in Eukaryota, Metazoa, Chordata, Mammalia, Rodentia, Cricetidae.
ACCUCUGAGCCAUCUCUCCAGCCCAAUAAGUAAAUAUUUUUAAAAAACAAAUUAGCUGGGGGCUGGAGAGAUGGCUCAGAGGU